Molecule: transfer RNA, 76 nt
Filed under: Candidatus Roizmanbacteria bacterium RIFCSPLOWO2_02_FULL_38_10
Lineage: Bacteria; Candidatus Roizmaniibacteriota
Description: tRNA-Arg
Rfam family: tRNA
About the family: Transfer RNA (tRNA) molecules are approximately 80 nucleotides in length. Their secondary structure includes four short double-helical elements and three loops (D, anti-codon, and T loops).
Source: RNAcentral
GUCCUCGUAGCUCAACGGAUAGAGCGACUCCCUUCUAAGGAGUAGGUUGCGUGUUCGAUUCACGCCGAGGACGCCU